GACGAACGCUGGCGGCGUGCUUAACACAUGCAAGUCGAACGGAAAGGCCCUGCUCUUGCGGGGUGCUCGAGUGGCGAACGGGUGAGAAACACGUGAGUAACCUGCCCUUGACUUUGGGAUAACUUCAGGAAACUGGGGCGAAUACCGGGUAGGAUCUCCUGCUGCAUGGGGGGGGUUGGAAAGUUUCGGCGGUUGGGGAUGGACUCGCUGCUUAUGAGCUUGUUGGUGGGGUAGUGGCUUACCACGGCUUUGACGGAUAGCCGGCCUGAGAGGGUGGCCGGCGACAUGGGGACUGCGGUACGGCCCAGUCUGCUACGGGAGGCAGCGGUCGAGAGUCUUGCGCAGCGGGCGGAAGUCUGAUGCAGCGACGCCGCGUGCGGAAUGACGGCUUUCGGGGUGUAAACCGAUGUCGCCUGUGACGAAGCGUGAGUGACGGUAAUGGGUCAAGAAGCACCGGCUAACUACGUG
RNAcentral lists this ribosomal RNA (468 nucleotides) under uncultured bacterium. RNAcentral's name for it is "partial 16S ribosomal RNA". It matches the Rfam family "Bacterial small subunit ribosomal RNA", at positions 28 to 507 of the family's 1533-position model. The record is from RNAcentral.